UACGAAGGGGGCUAGCGUUGCUCGGAAUCACUGGGCGUAAAGCGCACGUAGGCGGCUUUUUAAGUCAGGGGUGAAAUCCUGGAGCUCAACUCCAGAACUGCCUUUGAUACUGGGAAGCUUGAGUCCGGAAGAGGUGAGUGGAACUCCGAGUGUAGAGGUGAAAUUCGUAGAUAUUCGGAAGAACACCGAUGGCGAAGGCAGGUCUCUGGGCCGAUACUGACGCUGAGGAGCGAAAGCGUGGGGAGCGAACAGG
This 253-nucleotide ribosomal RNA is filed under the name uncultured bacterium. RNAcentral describes it as "partial 16S ribosomal RNA". It matches the Rfam family "Bacterial small subunit ribosomal RNA", at positions 524 to 776 of the family's 1533-position model. The record is from RNAcentral.